RNAcentral lists this ribosomal RNA (253 nucleotides) under uncultured Eubacteriales bacterium. RNAcentral's name for it is "uncultured Clostridiales bacterium partial 16S ribosomal RNA". It matches the Rfam family "Bacterial small subunit ribosomal RNA", at positions 524 to 776 of the family's 1533-position model. The record is from RNAcentral. Lineage: Bacteria; Bacillati; Bacillota; Clostridia; Eubacteriales.
UACGUAGGGGGCAAGCGUUAUCCGGAUUUACUGGGUGUAAAGGGAGCGUAGACGGCGAUGCAAGUCUGAAGUGAAAGGCGGGGGCCCAACCCCCGGACUGCUUUGGAAACUGGCAGGCUGGAGUGCCGGAGAGGCAGGCGGAAUUCCUAGUGUAGCGGUGAAAUGCGUAGAUAUUAGGAGGAACACCAGUGGCGAAGGCGGCCUGCUGGACGGUGACUGACGCUGAGGCUCGAAAGCGUGGGGAGCAAACAGG